GAUGAACGCUGGCGGCGUGCUUAACACAUGCAAGUCGAACGAUGAAGGAGAGCUUGCUCUCCGGAUUAGUGGCGAACGGGUGAGUAACACGUGACUAACCUGCCCCUUUCUCUGGGAUAACGCUCCGAAAGGAGUGCUAAUACCGGAUACGAACUCUGAACACAUGUUCGGAGUUGGAAAGUUUUUCGGAAAGGGAUGGAGUCGCGGCCUAUCAGCUUGUUGGUGAGGUAACGGCUCACCAAGGCGACGACGGGUAGCCGGCCUGAGAGGGCGACCGGCCACACUGGGACUGAGACACGGCCCAGACUCCUACGGGAGGCAGCAGUGGGGAAUAUUGCACAAUGGGCGAAAGCCUGAUGCAGCGACGCCGCGUGAGGGAUGAAGGUCUUCGGAUUGUAAACCUCUUUCAGUAGGGACGAAGCGAAAGUGACGGUACCUAAAGAAGAAGCACCGGCUAGCUACGUGCCAGCCGCCGCGGUAA
This 481-nucleotide ribosomal RNA is filed under the name uncultured bacterium. RNAcentral's name for it is "partial 16S ribosomal RNA". It matches the Rfam family "Bacterial small subunit ribosomal RNA", at positions 28 to 523 of the family's 1533-position model. The record is from RNAcentral.